Non-coding RNA from Stegodyphus mimosarum, 73 nucleotides. NCBI's taxonomy places the organism in Eukaryota, Metazoa, Arthropoda, Arachnida, Araneae, Eresidae. The record is from Rfam.
GCCUUCGUGGUGUAAUGGUCAGUAUACUCGACGCGUAUUCGAGAGGUCGGUGGUUCGAAUGCCGGCGAGGGCA